This 514-nucleotide ribosomal RNA is filed under the name uncultured bacterium. Its description in RNAcentral is "partial 16S ribosomal RNA". It matches the Rfam family "Bacterial small subunit ribosomal RNA", at positions 29 to 523 of the family's 1533-position model. The record is from RNAcentral.
CAUGAACGCUGGCGGCGUGCCUAAUACGUGCAAGUCGAGCGAAUGGAUUAAGAGCUUGCUCUUAUGAAGUUAGCGGCGGACGGGUGAGUAACACGUGGGUAACCUGCCCAUAAGACUGGGAUAACUCCGGGAAACCGGGCUAAUACCGGAUAACAUUUUGAACCGCAUGGUUCGAAAUUGAAAGGCGGCUUCGGCUGUCACUUAUGGAUGGACCCGCGUCGCAUUGGAUAGUUGGUGAGGUAACGGCUUACCAAAGCAAAGAUGCGUAGCCGACCUGAGAGGGGGAUCGGCCACACUGGGACUGAGACACGGCCCAGACUCCUACGGGAGGCAGCAGUAGGGAAUCUUCCGCAAUGGACGAAAGUCUGACGGAGCAACGCCGCGUGAGUGAUGAAGGCUUUCGGGUCGUAAAACUCUGUUGUUAGGGAAGAACAAGUGCUAGUUGAAUAAGCUGGCACCUUGACGGUACCUAACCAGAAAGCCACGGCUAACUACGUGCCAGCCGCCGCCGUAA